Molecule: long non-coding RNA, 376 nt
Filed under: Ixodes scapularis (black-legged tick)
Lineage: Eukaryota; Metazoa; Arthropoda; Arachnida; Ixodida; Ixodidae
Description: uncharacterized LOC115313603
Source: RNAcentral
GGGCCACAGAAUCGAUGCCCAAGGUCUUCAUCCGGAGCGGACCAACCUCGAGGCAGUGACCGAAGCUCCAAGACCGACCUCGGAGGAGGGCAGCAGUGAAGUGCUCUCUGAAUAUGUGCUGUACACGCGGGGGUGGGACGACCAACCUAUGUCCGCCCAGCAGAUGGCCACCAUGACUACGCGGGACAGCCUGCUUCGCCAAGUAAAAGCCUGGAUUUACGCCGGAUGGCCGUCGCACCUGCGCCCGGAGCAGCACCAGUUCCUACCGUACUUCAGCCGCAGAUCUACCCCUAUGAAAGAGGGCAAGUCGCCAGCCGAGUUGUUGUUAGGCUUCAGGCCCAGGACAAGGCUAACCGGCUUCUUCCCGAGGGGCGAG